Molecule: ribosomal RNA, 167 nt
Filed under: Inu koma
Lineage: Eukaryota; Metazoa; Chordata; Actinopteri; Gobiiformes; Gobiidae
Description: partial 12S rRNA
Source: RNAcentral
CACCGCGGUUAUACGAGAGGCUCAAGUUGAUAAAUACCGGCGUAAAAAGUGGCUAGCACAUCAUCCAACUAAAGCUAAACAUCUUCAGAGCUGUUAUACCCAUAUGAAGCCAGGAAGCACUUCUACGAAAGUAGCUUUAAAUUAUGCCAUCCACGAAAGCUAGGAAA